UUGUCCUGUGACUGCGUACCUUUUGUAUAAUGGGUCAGCGACUUAUAUUCAGUGGCAAGGUUAACCAUCUAGGGGAGCCGUAGGGAAACCGAGUCUUAACUGGGCGUUCAGUCUCUGGAUAUAGACCCGAAACCAGGUGAUCUAGCCAUGGGCAGGUUGAAGGUUGAGUAACAUCAACUGGAGGACCGAACCGACUAAUGUUGAAAAAUUAGCGGAUGACUUGUGGCUAGGGGUGAAAGGCCAAUCAAACCUGGAGAUAGCUGGUUCUCCCCGAAAGCUAUUUAGGUAGCGCCUCGGACGAAUACUACUGGGGGUAGAGCACUGUUAAGGCUAGGGGGUCAUCCCGACUUACCAACCCUUUGCAAACUCCGAAUACCAGUAAGUACUAUCCGGGAGACACACGGCGGGUGCUAACGUCCGUCGUGGAGAGGGAAACAACCCAGACCGCCAGCUAAGGUCCCAAAUUACUACUAAGUGGGAAACGAUGUGGGAAGGCUCAGACAGCCAGGAUGUUGGCUUAGAAGCAGCCAUCAUUUAAAGAAAGCGUAAUAGCUCACUGGUCGAGUCGGCCUGCGCGGAAGAUGUAACGGGGCUAAGUAGUAAACCGAAGCUGCGGCAAUAUACUUUAGUAUAUUGGGUAGGGGAGCGUUCUGUAAGCGGUUGAAGGUGUGUGGUAACGCAUGCUGGACGUAUCAGAAGUGCGAAUGCUGACAUGAGUAACGAUAAAGGGGGUGAAAAACCUCCUCGCCGGAAGACCAAGGGUUCCUGUCCAACGUUAAUCGGGGCAGGGUAAGUCGACCCCUAAGGCGAGGCCGAAAGGCGUAGUCGAUGGGAAACGGGUUAAUAUUCCCGUACUUCUUACAAUUGCGAUGGGGGGACGGAGAAGGCUAGGUGGGCCUGGCGACGGUUGUCCAGGUUCAAGUGCGUAGGCUUAAGAGUUAGGUAAAUCCGGCUCUUUUUAAGGCUGAGACACGACGUCGAGCACCUACGGGUGUGAAGUCAUUGAUGCCAUGCUUCCAGGAAAAGCCUCUAAGCUUCAGAUUGUAAGGAAUCGUACCCCAAACCGACACAGGUGGUCGGGUAGAGAAUACCAAGGCGCUUGAGAGAACUCGGGUGAAGGAACUAGGCAAAAUGGUACCGUAACUUCGGGAGAAGGUACGCUCUCGACGGUGAAGUCCCUUGCGGAUGGAGCUAUUGAGAGUCGCAGAUACCAGGUGGCUGCAACUGUUUAUUAAAAACACAGCACUGUGCAAAAUCGUAAGAUGACGUAUACGGUGUGACGCCUGCCCGGUGCCGGAAGGUUAAUUGAUGGGGUUAGACUUCGGUCGAAGCUCUUGAUCGAAGCCCCGGUAAACGGCGGCCGUAACUAUAACGGUCCUAAGGUAGCGAAAUUCCUUGUCGGGUAAGUUCCGACCUGCACGAAUGGCGUAAUGAUGGCCACGCUGUCUCCACCCGAGACUCAGUGAAAUUGAAAUCGCUGUGAAGAUGCAGUGUACCCGCGGCUAGACGGAAAGACCCCGUGAACCUUUACUACAGCUUGGCACUGAACAUUGACCCUACAUGUGUAGGAUAGGUGGGAGGCUUUGAAGCACGUACGCCAGUAUGUGUGGAGCCGUCCUUGAAAUACCACCCUUGUAGUGUUGAUGUUCUAACGUCGACCCCUUAUCGGGGUUGCGGACAGUGCCUGGUGGGUAGUUUGACUGGGGCGGUCUCCUCCCAAAGAGUAACGGAGGAGCACGAAGGUGGGCUAAUCACGGUUGGACAUCGUGAGGUUAGUGCAAUGGCAUAAGC
RNAcentral lists this ribosomal RNA (1791 nucleotides) under Vibrio parahaemolyticus. Its description in RNAcentral is "bacterial LSU rRNA". It matches the Rfam family "Bacterial large subunit ribosomal RNA", at positions 586 to 2364 of the family's 2925-position model. Lineage: Bacteria; Pseudomonadati; Pseudomonadota; Gammaproteobacteria; Vibrionales; Vibrionaceae. The record is from RNAcentral.